This 85-nucleotide transfer RNA is filed under the name mine drainage metagenome. RNAcentral describes it as "tRNA-His". The record is from RNAcentral.
CGCGCCGGUAGCCCAGGUCGAGCGGGUGCUGUCAUGAGCGGCGUCGAGCGGCACCGUGGCAUGGGUUCGACGCCCGGCGACGAGG